Molecule: non-coding RNA, 24 nt
Filed under: Bos taurus (domestic cattle)
Lineage: Eukaryota; Metazoa; Chordata; Mammalia; Artiodactyla; Bovidae
Also listed under: 1 other name
Source: RNAcentral
UAGGGUUUCGAUGUGCUGUGUUCU